Molecule: long non-coding RNA, 702 nt
Organism: Acromyrmex echinatior (Panamanian leafcutter ant)
Lineage: Eukaryota; Metazoa; Arthropoda; Insecta; Hymenoptera; Formicidae
Source: RefSeq, a predicted model, not a curated record
GAGCUCGAUGCUACGCGAGGGAGAGGGAAACACAUUGAUGGCAUACCUACCUUCUCCAUUUGAUAAUUAAAUAGAUAUGUCGCCACUAUGUUAAUCUGGGUAGAGCUCUACAUUUACAAGAGUAGUGCGCAAUUCUUCUUUGAGCUUCGCGGACCAAUUUGUGGUAACUGUGAUCUACAUCAGUGGAAGAAAUCAGGAAAUCCAUUCAGGGGGACAACAAGAAGAAGAAGAGCUUCACGGAUAUCAACUUUUCUAGUUAUUUUGAUCGCAUUUUUGAAUCUGCUGGUCUAUCAUCCAAUAACAAACAGGCGAGUGUAGUUCUGAGUCUAUCGACCGCAAAUACCGAAUGGACGAAGGCCAGAGAGAGCAGGAUUCAGGAUACGAGGUUCGUGCAUACACAGCUCGGAAUUCACAAGGGAUGAGGGACGAGGGGAACAGUUUGGAAUUAAUCAGUACCGGUCUUCAGUAAAUAACCGUAACGAGGAUCCCUUGGUCAACUUAGCGAGUUCUCGAAGAAUUCGACGAAAGACUACAACACACGCCAAGAACGAACGAUAAUGAAGCCCAGGAGCUUUUCCGAUAGCAUUCGAGAGACGUUUGGUAAUUUAUUUGGUAAAUUGCUACUCUUUCACGAAUACGCUCGUGAUAGAUAAAAAUGGAGUUGAGCACUUAACUGUUUACAACUUUUAAUAAAAAAUAUAA